CCCUCCCUAAAUCACCCAAAAAAACAAUCCCCAAUUCUACACAAGUGUUUCUACACUAACAAAGCAACAGCUCCUUAACGAAUUCCCAACUUUACACGAGCUCGUCUCUCGAGGUUAAAUGUUAUUACUUGCAAGAUUCCGACCUCGCUGCAAGUGUUUUGAAAACCCGCAACGCUCGCAAAGGUGAAGAUAGUGAGAAUAAUAAGUGUAAGAGACAGACUUGUCCAAAACGCCCACCACGAAGGUGCAUAGUGAGAAGAGUAAGUCAAGAGAUAGACUUGUCCAAAAAGAAACGGAAGAGAAAAAGCUUGGGGAGACGCUCACGAAGGUGCAUAGUGAGAAGAGUAAGUCAAGAGAUGACUUGUUCAAAAAAGAAACAGAAGAGAAUGCUUGGGGUUACACUCACGAAGGUGCAUAGUGAGAAGAGUAAGUCAAGAGACAGACUUGUUCUAAAAAGAAACAAAAGAGAAUGCUUGGGGGAGAUCAAGCUAAGAAAGUGCUAAGAGAUCAAAGUUCUCAAGCUGAAAAGUCAAACACUUGGUGAUAUGUAAAGCUAAGACAAACUAUGCCAAGUAAUCGUCCUGGUGAUUCCUCGCCCCACCAGGAUUCUGAAAUCGUGCCGAGGGAAAAAAAUCUGGCUCCUCCGAGGAAUCUGCCGAUCCGGACUUGGAAUCGUCGAGAAAAGUUUAUCUGGGUCCGAGGAUUUGUCGAC
This 712-nucleotide unclassified non-coding RNA is filed under the name Arabidopsis thaliana (thale cress). RNAcentral's name for it is "3' external transcribed spacer". The record is from RNAcentral. Lineage: Eukaryota; Viridiplantae; Streptophyta; Magnoliopsida; Brassicales; Brassicaceae.